GAAUCCAAAACUUGAGGGAUAUCCUCACAAAUCUUAGACAGAGCAUCCAUAGCACCUUCCAUGUGAUUAAGAUCAUUACUGUCCAAGCAAGUUACAAGAGCCUGCAACAGCUCAGGCCACCCUGAAAUUCCCCCUAUUUGAACAACAACACUUAUAAUGGUCCCAACCGUUGAUCUUAUAUGCCUAUCUGCUGCUCCUAAACAAGGCAACAACUCUGACUUAAUAUACUGUUGGCAUGCCGUAGUCAAUGAUUUAUAUGCAGUUCUGAGGUUGUUUUUCAGCAGCAGACCAGCAGCUUGUCGAAUUUCCACAGAUUUACCCUCAGUGCGAG
Molecule: unclassified non-coding RNA, 331 nt
Filed under: Hevea brasiliensis (rubber tree)
Lineage: Eukaryota; Viridiplantae; Streptophyta; Magnoliopsida; Malpighiales; Euphorbiaceae
Source: RNAcentral